This 680-nucleotide long non-coding RNA is filed under the name Heterocephalus glaber (naked mole-rat). Its description in RNAcentral is "lncRNA (ENSHGLG00100045053.1)". The record is from RNAcentral. Lineage: Eukaryota; Metazoa; Chordata; Mammalia; Rodentia; Bathyergidae.
CAGGAGUUGGAUUCCAAGUUCUUCUCUUCUUGAACAAAGAAUUGAAUGAAAUGAGCAAACUGCAAUGGCAAAGUUUAUUUGAAAAAAGUCUCCAGUUUCGGGGCAGCAUCUGAGUGGAGAUGCGUCCCUGCUCAUGCUGACAGAUGAAGAAGGCGGUCGGGCCGAGGACCGUGCUGGAUGCAGGCACCAGCAGGCAGUAGGAGCAGGAUCGUACUGAGACAAGCGUGGUGGUUCACACAGUAACUCCAGCAUUCUGGAAGACGGAAACGGGAGGAUCACAAGUUUGAGCCCAGCCUGGACACCAUAGUGUGAAGAAGGCUUCAGUUUAUUUGUUUCGUACUUAAGCAGUCUUUUCUUUCAUGACGUCUACAUUUUGAGUCAUAGUUAGAAUGUCUUAACCACUUUAAGGUAAUGAAUUAAGUGGAUUGAUGAGUUUGUGUUUCUAUUCUUACUUUCAAUCUUUGAUCCAUUUAAAAUUAUCUUGUAUAUCAUAUGGGGUUUGGAACCCAUCUAUCUACUCACAUCGCUUAAUUUUUGUGUGUAUGGUUCAGAAAAAGCAAUUCAUUAUAUAUUAAAUGACUCAAAUUUUCCCCCACUUCCUCAUUUUCUUUUGUAGGCAUGAGGCUAGACACAGGAAUCCUUGAUAUUUUCUUCUAAUAUUACAAGUGGUUUUAUGAAAG